AAUAAUUAAACUUAUGCCAUUUUCACAUUUCAGGUAAUGAGAGGCCCUGAGAUCCCAGAGGGACCAUAUGAGAAUUCUGGACAGUGCUGAAGACUCUUACUUCCUGCAGACACAAGAGGAGACAGGACCAGAGGGUACGCCACCAAGGAAGGCCACCCAGCUGUGUGUGUCAGACCCAUUGCUCAAGGACGAGGAUGACCCGGCAGAUCGGGCAGGGGGCCAGGAGGAACUCCCGAGUGCCUUCUCAUCUUAG
RNAcentral lists this long non-coding RNA (253 nucleotides) under Camelus dromedarius (Arabian camel). RNAcentral describes it as "lncRNA (ENSCDRG00005013305.1)". Lineage: Eukaryota; Metazoa; Chordata; Mammalia; Artiodactyla; Camelidae. The record is from RNAcentral.